Molecule: unclassified non-coding RNA, 194 nt
Filed under: uncultured Russula
Lineage: Eukaryota; Fungi; Basidiomycota; Agaricomycetes; Russulales; Russulaceae
Description: sequence contains ITS1
Source: RNAcentral
UCGUAAAACCGAGGUGCGAGGGCUGUCGCUGACCUUUUCGGUCGUGCACGCCCGAGCGCUCUCACACAAUCCAUCUCACCCCUUGUGCACCACCGCGUGGGUCCCUUUCUGGCUUGUCCGGAGGGGGGCUCGCGUUUUCACACAAACUUGAAGUAGUGUAGAAUGUCUUCCUUUGCGAUCACACGCAAUUAAUA